GAAGGCUCGACCCUUGUAUAAAGGGUGCAAGGCAGGACAAACGUAGAAAUGGACAGUGCAGAUAGAGAGUGCCUUUCGAGCCUUGAGAACAGCUAUGUUAAAGGCUCCGACUCUGGCGCUUCCUGAUCCUACAAAAGAGUUCCAUCUGUUUGUAGAUGAGAAAAAGAAAAUAGCCAAGAGAGUGCUCACACUGGCACUAGGACCUUGGAGGCGCCCAGUGGCGUACCUGUCAAAAAAAAAAAAAAAAAAAGAAACUAGACCUGGUAGCAGAGGGAUGGCCGGCUUGUCUGCAAAUCAUCAAAUCAUGGCAGCUACUGCCUUACUGGUCAAAGACACCAAUAAGCUCACCCUGGGUCAGCAUUUGCAGAUUACCACGCCUCACGCCAUAGAGGGGACCCUGAAGCAGCCGCCAGGGCGAAGGAUUACAAAUGCGAGGCUGACUCUCUACCAGGGGCUUCUGUUGGACACUCCUCGCUCUGAGUUCCGGACUCCUGCCAUCCUGAACCCGGCCACACUCCUGCCGGAUCCAGAGCCGGAAACACCUGAACACAGUUGCCUCGAGAUCCUGGCGAGACCCAGAUGGCCAGGAAAGAUCUAACAGACCACCCUCUUCCAAACAGCGACCUGACCUGGUUCACCGAUGGGAGCAGCUUUGUCCAGGACCGACACAGGUACGGACUGCCGGAGAGCAUAGGAUCUGACAAUGGGCCAGCCUUCACAAGUCAGGUUGACGGGGUAGCAACCUGGAUCCACCACUCCCACGUGAGACCGGCUGGUGAGGACGAGCAGAAGCGACAGCAGGACGAGUAAAGGACGAAGCAGACCUCACAAAUCCACUAAGGACCAGGCUGACCCGUGUGACAUCUGCAGAGUAAACAAGACUAUUGACUCAGAUUCUGGUAGAACUGCCAAUUGCCCUUCUAGGACUCGGACUGGGACUAGUUACCCCAAAGAUUUGGACUAAGCUGCAAAAAUGGGGUUUAAUAUUGUUCUGUGUUUCACAUGCAAGUGCAUUAUAAAUGUCCUGCUCUUAGACCAAAAGUUUUGCAGUUAUAAUUAAUAAUGAGAACCCACAUCUGCCAUAUAAACUUACAUAAAAAAUAACUUAGAAACCUAUGAGGUAUAUAAUAGCACCUCAAAGGCAGAGCCACUAAACACCUGGUGGCCAAUUUAUAUUUCAACGUAGAAAAAGUCAGUCUCCUAGAAAAGCCGGCACAGACAGUACAAUAUCCUCGAGAGGCCCUGCUGCUGCCCAAUCCCCUGUUCUUAAGUAACUAGACUAUAGAAAAAAAUGUAAAAUAGACCUCUGUAAGCCAAAAUAGGUUUUACGCCUGUCUAAAAUUCCGGCCCCCUCAGAAAAACCGUGAGUGUGGGAGUAUUAGAGGUUAUUAUUAUGCCAAAUGGUGAUGUGUAAUCACAAAUGACAGAGAGUAAAAAUGGCAGGUACAACCUCUUUUCACUGAAAUAUCCUAUGUCCGACCUUGUACUAGAGAUAGGCCUAACCCCCUGCUUAAGCCAAUCAGUUUUAAAUGAGUCUAAAAAAAUACUGCAUUAUGGUACUAAUGUUCCCUAAGGUCAUCUAUCAUCAAGACCCUAGAUAAGAGGCUCUUAAGAACCAAGAGAAAGGGGGGAAUGUAAGAUACUGGGCUAUAAGGACAAUAGACACCUUCCAGCUUCUGUUUACUGCUUGUUC
Non-coding RNA from Microcebus murinus (gray mouse lemur), 1693 nucleotides. The record is from RefSeq and is a predicted model, not a curated record. Lineage: Eukaryota; Metazoa; Chordata; Mammalia; Primates; Cheirogaleidae.